CCUACGGUAAGCUGCAGUGGGGAAUAUUGGACAAUGGGCGAAAGCCUGAUCCAGCCAUGCCGCGUGUGUGAAGAAGGCCUUCGGGUUGUAAAGCACUUUCAGUGGGGAAGAAAGCCUUGGGGCUAAUACCCUCGAGGAAGGACAUCACCCACAGAAGAAGCACCGGCUAACUCCGUGCCAGCAGCCGCGGUAAUACGGAGGGUGCGAGCGUUAAUCGGAAUUACUGGGCGUAAAGCGCGCGUAGGCGGUCUGAUAAGCCGGUUGUGAAAGCCCCGGGCUCAACCUGGGAACGGCAUCCGGAACUGUCAGGCUAGAGUGCAGGAGAGGAAGGUAGAAUUCCCGGUGUAGCGGUGAAAUGCGUAGAGAUCGGGAGGAAUACCAGUGGCGAAGGCGGCCUUCUGGACUGACACUGACGCUGAGGUGCGAAAGCGUGGGUAGCAAACAGGAUUAGAUACCCUUGUAGUC
This 465-nucleotide ribosomal RNA is filed under the name Vreelandella stevensii. Its description in RNAcentral is "partial 16S ribosomal RNA". It matches the Rfam family "Bacterial small subunit ribosomal RNA", at positions 338 to 795 of the family's 1533-position model. The record is from RNAcentral. Lineage: Bacteria; Pseudomonadati; Pseudomonadota; Gammaproteobacteria; Oceanospirillales; Halomonadaceae.